Long non-coding RNA from Pseudomyrmex gracilis, 500 nucleotides. RefSeq lists it as uncharacterized. The transcript is spliced from 4 exons. The record is from RefSeq and is a predicted model, not a curated record. Lineage: Eukaryota; Metazoa; Arthropoda; Insecta; Hymenoptera; Formicidae.
GUGUACAUAGCUGGAAAGCACCCAUUAUAUAGAUGGAUCUAUUAAGAGGAUGCUGAACUGACGAAGAAAGUCUGUCACAAAUGCUACUUAGCAGCUACGCUGUCGGGUAGCUGGCGCCAUCUCUCGGGAUCGAGUCAAACAAAAACAAGGAUAGAUGACAUAAAAAAGACAAUGAUAGACGUAUGUCUUUCUCUUCUGGUGCAAAGUUUGGGAACUACGUAGUGCUUCGUACAGUGUUUUGACAAGAAAAAUAAUCUUUGUGUCUACAAUUUACAGGUUCUAUCUAGCGGGCCAAAGUGUGUUUUGUGACAUAUACACUGUUAAAUCUCUAGACAUACUUGAUAAUAGAACCGUUUUCUUAUUUGUGCAGUACAUUUGACAAAAGUCAUUAUUCAGACGUUUUACUAUUUUUCUGAUAAAACAGGACGGUUCAGCAUCCUCUUAAUGUCUCCGGUAAAUGGAAGGAACGUAUAUUGUAAAAGUCUCGUUUAAAAAAAUAU